This 598-nucleotide ribosomal RNA is filed under the name uncultured bacterium. RNAcentral's name for it is "bacterial SSU rRNA". It matches the Rfam family "Bacterial small subunit ribosomal RNA", at positions 163 to 774 of the family's 1533-position model. The record is from RNAcentral.
CUAAUACCGGAUAUGACUCCACGACGCAUGUUGUGGGGUGGAAAGCCUUGUGCGGCUAGGGAUGGGCCCGCGGCCUAUCAGCUUGUUGGUGGGGUGAUGGCCUACCAAGGCGACGACGGGUAGCCGGCCUGAGAGGGCGACCGGCCACACUGGGACUGAGACACGGCCCAGACUCCUACGGGAGGCAGCAGUGGGGAAUAUUGCGCAAUGGGCGAAAGCCUGACGCAGCGACGCCGCGUGAGGGAUGACGGCCUUCGGGUUGUAAACCUCUUUCAGCCCCGACGAAGCGAAAGUGACGGUAGGAGCAGAAGAAGCACCGGCCAACUACGUGCCAGCAGCCGCGGUAAUACGUAGGGUGCAAGCGUUGUCCGGAAUUAUUGGGCGUAAAGAGCUCGUAGGCGGUCUGUCGCGUCGGCUGUGAAAACUCGGGGCUCAACUCCGAGCUUGCAGUCGAUACGGGCAGACUAGAGUUCGGCAGGGGAGACUGGAAUUCCUGGUGUAGCGGUGAAAUGCGCAGAUAUCAGGAGGAACACCGGUGGCGAAGGCGGGUCUCUGGGCCGAUACUGACGCUGAGGAGCGAAAGCGUGGGGAGCGAACA